This 509-nucleotide long non-coding RNA is filed under the name Ictidomys tridecemlineatus (thirteen-lined ground squirrel). Its description in RNAcentral is "lncRNA (ENSSTOG00000032730.1)". Lineage: Eukaryota; Metazoa; Chordata; Mammalia; Rodentia; Sciuridae. The record is from RNAcentral.
CGGGGCUGGGCGCUCAGAGCCCCAGCGGGAGCUUGCUCUCCCAGGAGUUUCCUGUGCAGAGCCCCGCUCCAGUCGCGCGGGAGUUCCAGUCUGAGUGCCCUCCUCUCCCACCUCCCUAUCCUCAUCACAGCAUGUAAAGUCCUCCUUCCCUCCUCGGACUUUGCCAAGGCGGCAACUUUCCUCUCUAGCCUCCGGGAGCACAGCAGCAGAAGCACGAGGGGCAGCGCGCAGCACCUUGAGCGAGGAGAGCUGAGGGGAUGGCCGCGCUGAGAGCGCCAAGGACAUGGAGAAACAGCUGCAGAAGACUGAGCGGGACUACGUGGGCACCCUGGAGUUCCUAGCGUCGGUGCACCCUGAGUGUAACACUGGAGCGAGCCAUCAUUCUACCCAGGAGCCAUGGGCUGCCACCUUGCUACAUUAUGCAGGCUACAGAUGUGAUGCGGAAGUAGGGAGCAAGAGUUCAGAACACAGCAAAGAAUUUGGAAGUGAGAGACUGGACCCCUCAAUCA